Pan troglodytes (chimpanzee) is the source of this 147-nucleotide non-coding RNA. It matches the Rfam family "Metazoan signal recognition particle RNA". From Rfam's summary of the family: The signal recognition particle (SRP) is a universally conserved ribonucleoprotein. The record is from Rfam. Lineage: Eukaryota; Metazoa; Chordata; Mammalia; Primates; Hominidae.
GCUGGGCGUGGUGGUGCUUGCCUGUAAUCCCAGCUACUCUGGAGGCUGAGGUGGGAGGAUCACUUGAGCCUGGGAAGUCAAGAAUGCAGUGAGCUGAGAUCAUGCCACUGCACUCAGCCUGGGCAAUAGAGUGAGACCCUGCCUAAA